Molecule: RNA transcript, 6229 nt
Organism: Homo sapiens (human)
Lineage: Eukaryota; Metazoa; Chordata; Mammalia; Primates; Hominidae
Gene: SAP30L
Gene name: SAP30 like
Exons: 5
Source: RefSeq, marked validated
GUGGUGCGGAGCGUUCGGCGGGCGGCGGCCGGGCGGCCCAGGGGCUGCCGCGGGACUCGGGGCGCAGCCGAGUGGCUGCAGGGGUGGAGUGGGCCGGACGAGCCGCGGGGCCCGGGUGCCGCGGGUUCGAGGCCGGGCCCCGCGCGAGGAGGCCGCGCCACCCCGGGGGAGCUGCCCGGCAGCGAGUUUGCCCCGCUGCCGAAAGAAGGCGGGAGCCGGCAGGGGCCUUCGAAACCCCCUGGCAACCCAGGCCCGGAGUCCUUGGGGAGCGGCUGUUUCCUGGGACGCCCUCCCGGACACCCCCGCUGCAGGGUUACGGUUCUGGGCCCCCGGCAGAAGGCUCCUCCGGGUGACCCCCGGCGGGGCCCUGCGAGCCGCGGGAGCCGACCCCGGGGCCUCGAGCCGGGAGGAAGGGGGCUUCCGGAGGCGGAGGGCCGGGGGCCGAGGGAGCCGGGCCUCUCGGACGCGGGGCAGGGCAGCGCCCGGGCUGGAGACGGACUCUGGGACCCUCGGCUGCGGGGGUCUCAGCGACCUGCCCCGCGGCAAGCGCGGCCGCGGAGUGGCCUACCGGGGACCCUCCCCCAGAGGGACCGGCCCGGGGCGGGGAGAUGAACGGCUUCAGCACGGAGGAGGACAGCCGCGAAGGGCCCCCCGCCGCCCCAGCUGCCGCCGCCCCGGGCUACGGCCAGAGCUGCUGCCUCAUCGAGGACGGCGAGCGCUGCGUCCGGCCCGCGGGCAACGCCUCCUUCAGCAAGAGGGUCCAGAAGAGCAUCUCGCAGAAGAAACUCAAGCUGGACAUCGACAAGAGCGUAAGGCACCUAUAUAUCUGUGAUUUUCACAAAAAUUUCAUCCAGAGUGUCCGAAAUAAAAGGAAGAGGAAGACAAGUGACGAUGGCGGAGAUUCUCCCGAGCACGACACUGACAUUCCUGAGUGCUCUCCACCUGCCUGAAGCAAGAACAGCUCUUUUAGAGGCAGGUUGAUCUGUUCCAGCUGCAGGUGAACACCCUACGACGUUAUAAACGACACUACAAGUUGCAGACCAGACCAGGCUUCAAUAAGGCCCAGUUAGCAGAAACUGUGAGUCGACACUUCAGGAACAUACCUGUGAAUGAAAAAGAGACCCUUGCCUACUUCAUCUACAUGGUGAAGAGUAACAAGAGUAGACUGGACCAGAAAUCGGAGGGUGGCAAGCAGCUUGAGUGAGGAUGAAGCACAUCUUAAAGGAAUGAAGUGUAAUGCUUGAUGCACAGGUGAUAUCUACUACAUUUAAGCCCAUAAAGACUGUUAAAUAUUAUUGUAAAUAAAAAAGUUUGAAUGAUGAAUACUGUAAAUCUUUUUGGUCAGGAGGAUUAUAUUCUCAUGAUUCAGCAUGUGUAUAGAAAGACUUUCUUUUACGAUAACUCUGGACUAAAAAAAUCAGGAUCAUUAAAAGAAUUAAAAACUAUGUAUUUCAGCAUUCAACAAAGCAUUAAAUCAAUUCUACUGGAAAUGUGGGAUAAGAAAUAUUUUGGUAAUCACCUUAUCCACCAGGCUGCCACGUGUGAGCUGUAGCUUGGAAUAGCAGCAAGGUGCAAUUGGCCAUGGAAGUGCAUGAGCAGACCCACAUCUGGACUUGCAUGCUGCCCGCUGGCGACAUAGAUAUCCCGCCCGCUUUGUUGCAAGCUUUGUCAUUUAUCAGCAGAUCAGUUUGACACUGGUCCCCCUCACUCACCCUGUGCCUUGUACACAGUAGGCACUCAAUCAGUAGGUAUUGGCUAAUUGAGCUGUCACUAAUAGUGCCAGCCUUGUAACAUCCGCUUCACACCUCUCAUGACUGAGACCUCUGCCAUUUCUGUUGCUCACCACUUAACUGCUAGAAUGUGGAGGAAAUCCUGAUGCACCAACAAGGAAGUUUCUGAUCAGAUAAGGAUUUCAGGACAGUUGCAUGUGCAAAACUAUUCGUUGAGGUUCCAGAAACACUGAUAUAGAGACCCUCACAGAAGAUACGGUCCCUUAUGCACCCCACUAUGCUUCACUCUUUGGGGUGCAGUUAGAUAUUAUGACUUCAGCCAAGCUUCUUGGUAAUAAAUGCAUUGACACACUGACAUAUUUAGUAGGUUGGGGCAAGUAUUUUUAGAAGUUUUCAUCCUAAGUUCACAACCACCAUGCAAGCUGCCAGGGGCCAUGUGAUUCCUGCCCAGAAGUUCAGCUUAGGAUUGAAAGUCUGGCUGGCCUUGACUCCCUGGGCUCUGGUCAUCAGCAAAUCAUGAGUUUGGGCAACAAAGGUCAAUUCCAUCUGAUGCUCAUUUUUGUGAACAAUUUGCCUCCCUCUUAGGGAGAAAGAUUGCUAAAAUAAUUUUUGAAAAUUACCUAAUUUUUUUGUUGUUCAAAACGUUGAACUCCUCAAUCUAAUUAUAUCAGAGCCAAAGUAUCCUGUGAAAACAAAGCUUUAUAUCCAAAAAUGUGCUUUUGCAAAAUUCUUUAAUCUGUGUAAUGGAGGGCAGAGGGUAUGGGGUAGGAGGGUGGGAGAAAGAAAAGAAAAGAAUUUGGAUUCUAAUUUAUGACCAUCUUGACAUAUGGUCAAAGGUGUCAUUUUCCUACUCAGUUUCAAUUCUGAGUUAAUUUCUUAAGCCUUAAAUAAUAAGAACAAUGGACAGCCUGGCCUGGCAGAGAGUUUCACAGAUGACUUAAUCUGAGCACCAUCACAGAGAAGUCAGGACUAAACCCCCUACUGAGCAGGGCGGCGGAGUGUCCAAAGGUCUCAGUUCUGUGGAGCAGAGUACCACGCUUUCUGUGGAAUGGGGACAGGGUCACCACGCUCACUAAAAUGCAGUAUGUUCCAUUGCAGCAAAGCUUUCGCCUGUGUUCAAAAUGCAUGUCUAGCAGAUUGCAGCCUUUUAAAUUAAAUAUAUAUAAAUGGUUGUAUAUAGAAUAUACUCUGGACUGUGAGGGCAUCCUAUUUUGGUAUGCCUCCUGGCUGUGGAUGGCAUGUCCAGUGCUCUGUGAGUGUUUUCAGUCAUUCACAUUCACUAUGUGUUUAGAGAUUCUCUCCCUGCUUACAGCUGAAGGAUGUUGAUACAGGCAUCAAGAAGGCUGAGGGGCAGAUGGGGCCUGCAGGUUAAGGCAUUGUUAACUUGCUCCAUGGAAAUGUCCAUAUCUUAAUGAGUAAAAAAGUGUAUUUUUCUGAUACGUAAACCAGAAUUGUGGGCGUGUAGGUCACAUCACUAUUUCUUUAGCAGCAAAUCUGUUUUCCCAGUUGAGAGAGACAAUAGCUUCUGCACAAGAAUAUAUGAUGGUAGGAUCCAUCUGUUCAAUUGUGUCUGAAAGAAUCUUUAUUCCAAAGCGAAACCUGGGGAAAUGUUUUACCUUCAGCCAGAUGCUGUGUGUGUACUUGGGUCCCUUGUCUUUCCUCUAAGGAGAGGUGCUUGUGGAAAGUGGAGGUUGUGGGCAUCUUUUCAACCUUUUCAAUCUGACCUUUCAACAGGUCAGGUGAGAGAAAAGACAAAGCUAUUUGAACCUAUGUUUUUCUUAUGUCCAGAAAUCUGUUCUUUCAUCAAACCACUAAACCACUCGCCUUAGCCUCUUCUGCAGUUUCUGGUGGCUCUAUCUGUGGGCAAGGGACUCCUGCCUGUGAGAAGUGGCCAGGCCCUCCAGAGCAACGGGGUCUGGCUUCAGGGAGCAGUGGGGUGUGGGGAAAGCAAUGUUCAUCUUGGCUGCUCCAUUUUUAUACCAUCCAUCAAGGACUCUUGCGCUUCUCUCCACCUGUGACGUAGCAGCAUUGCCUUCUUUCCUCUUGGUGCUUCUGGGCAAAACUGGAAUUUGAAAUCCAGAACUGGCGUUGUCUUCUUAAAGAGUAUGGUUCCUGCCUCAGUUCCAGCCUGGUAUGGUUCUUUGAUAUGCCCUGAAGGUUCUCACAUGGAAACAUCAGUAUCCUGCCAUUCAUGUUGUUUUAAGAUGUUUUAAAAACCAAUGGACAAACUUCUUGCUUCAAGGAACAAACUCUUAGGUUGGCAACAGCAUAUAAAAAAAAAGAUCACAGCUGAAUCUCAUGAAAGAUUAAAAACCAAAGGAUUCAAGACCGGUGUUGUAAAAUGAAGAGGAAUUUUACUUACAUGUUACAGCUGCCAAGUUUUUAGAUGUUCCUGUCAUAGCUAAAUAGUCACUGCUAGCCUUUCAGAGAACAGAUAGUAACAAUUGUUUGCAGCUGCAGUGUUGCAUCUAAUUUUGGUGUUUAGGCUUUUUAUUUUGUGGGAAGCUUUUUGUUAAUAUCCUGCAGGGCAACUGCCUGUUGGGAGGGAGAGGAUGGAAGAAGGAGCUUACUCUGGGGGCCUUGCCUAUUGAGGGAGGCUGUUGCCCAGAGCAGUUGCUUCAUGGAAGUCAUCCAAAGGCGCUCUCAGUCAUUACAAUGACAGGAUCUCAAAGUUGGGAAAGGGCUGUUAAGUCAUCCAGUCUAGUCUCCACAUAGGUGCUGACAUUCUGCCUACAACCAUCCCACCAAGGGGUUGAGCAGUCUGGACUUAAACACCUCCGAGGACAGAGAACCCACUACCUCGUGGAGAAGCCUGUUCUUUGUAAACCUCUGGCUUUUCUAUGUUCUCUGUAAUUUCCAUCUUAGUCUCUGCCCCAUGGGGGCCACAUGGGACAAGUUAUUUUUGGCAAAGCACCUAAUUGCUGGCACUGUCCCAAAGCAUAGCGUUUGCCUUUUGGAAAGAAACAAUGCUAGGACAUGGACACUUUGGUACACUGUCCUUACCCCUGAGUAUUAGUCCACUCAGUUCCUUGUUGGAGAAUGUUGAGAAAACCCUACUGGCUGGCUUGUUUCUGCCAAAGCUUGGGGAGAGGAGAGGGGGAUGAGAAGAUGUUAGCAGCCUGCUAAACCUCAGACAGAUGAGGACUCAGUUCUGUGCUUGCCCCACAAAAACGGAUGCUCACAUCAUCAGGAAAUUGUUCAGCUGGAGGAUUUAUAACUUCGUUGCUUUGCAUGAAGUUUAAAGUUUUCAUGGUUGCCCAGGGCUUGUACCUUAGAUUCCUGUAAGGACUUUGCACUGUUUUUGCUGAGAAAACAACGCUUCAGGACUUAAGGUCUAAGCGUCAGAGAAGUGCCGUAUUUUCAAGGUGGAAAGUCUGUUAAGCUUGCUGUUGUCCAAUCAUCCGUUUUUAGAGAUGGGGAAACUAAAACUCAAAAAGAUGUGCCUGAGGUCAUAUGGCAUUAUCAGAACCAACCUCUGGCCCUCUUGACCUGUCUAGCAUUCUUUCUUUCUGACCUAUAGGAUGACUCUAAUUCAGUCUAAAUCGGCUGCCCUCAGAUUCUUGAGAACUUAAAAUUGAGCAGAAAUUCCCAAGGCCAACCUAGCUCUCAGGGACCAACCUGCAGAACUCAAGAUUGAGCGAAAUGUUUAGGCCAGUUGAGUUUUGCAAAAUGAGUGGUAAGGGAAAACAGAUCUAGCCUGUUAUUUAAAACCAGGGUUCAAAAGCCCUAUUGGGAGAGGUAGUAUUGUCCUAGCAUUUAAAUUCUCAUGAAAUGUGCUUGGUCUGUGAUCUCUUGGUCAGAUAUCUGCCUUCCAGGCGAUCCUUUGAGGUUGUGUAAUUCAGCUGGCCCUGGCUCCUGGUCCCUGUUACUGAGCUGGGCAGUCGAACCGAAGGGCAGAUGAGCUCAAGAUCAUGCCUUGGGAAGCAUGGUGCUCUAGGGGUGCCUUUUUAUUCCUUUCAUUGUAUUAUAGACUGUUUCCAAGUUUAUGGUUAGAAAUGGUAAAGUGGGUCUGGUGUUUUGAGGUAGAACCCAGCCUAGGGCAAGAUAUGAACUGUUCUUGAGGUAGAAAUGUCUACAGUCAGUUGUUUCAUCUAGCUUGCAUCUUAAAACACAAACCCUUCAGUUGCUUUCACUUAAUGCACACAUUUGCCAAUGACAGAGGGUUAUACAGGAUCCUUCUUUUACAUUUCUAUUGUCUGCUACGCUCAUCAGAGUAUAUUUUGGGGUACAAGGUUUUGGGGGUUUUUUUUCCCAUUUUGUAACUGCCUUAUUGAAAAGUAAGUGCCCUUCCAUUCCAGGCCUCCUCAUAUUGUACUUGUUUCCUGCCAAAUCUGGGGGAUCAUUUGUAUUUUAACUUCGUAAUCUAUGGCUCUGUACUGUUGAAAGGCUCUCAAUUCUGUGGGGUCUCCUUAGUAUGUAUGUGACUUUUCAUGUUGCAAUAUCACACGAUGGGAUGGCCCGACUUUUGCUCUUAAUAAAUAAUCUGAAUGAGUAAGAGA